Molecule: ribosomal RNA, 816 nt
Filed under: Enterococcus hirae
Lineage: Bacteria; Bacillati; Bacillota; Bacilli; Lactobacillales; Enterococcaceae
Description: bacterial SSU rRNA
Rfam family: Bacterial small subunit ribosomal RNA
Source: RNAcentral
AACGGGUGAGUAACACGUGGGUAACCUGCCCAUCAGAAGGGGAUAACACUUGGAAACAGGUGCUAAUACCGUAUAACAAUCGAAACCGCAUGGUUUUGAUUUGAAAGGCGCUUUCGGGUGUCGCUGAUGGAUGGACCCGCGGUGCAUUAGCUAGUUGGUGAGGUAACGGCUCACCAAGGCGACGAUGCAUAGCCGACCUGAGAGGGUGAUCGGCCACAUUGGGACUGAGACACGGCCCAAACUCCUACGGGAGGCAGCAGUAGGGAAUCUUCGGCAAUGGACGAAAGUCUGACCGAGCAACGCCGCGUGAGUGAAGAAGGUUUUCGGAUCGUAAAACUCUGUUGUUAGAGAAGAACAAGGAUGAGAGUAACUGUUCAUCCCUUGACGGUAUCUAACCAGAAAGCCACGGCUAACUACGUGCCAGCAGCCGCGGUAAUACGUAGGUGGCAAGCGUUGUCCGGAUUUAUUGGGCGUAAAGCGAGCGCAGGCGUUUCUUAAGUCUGAUGUGAAAGCCCCCGGCUCAACCGGGGAGGGUCAUUGGAAACUGGGAGACUUGAGUGCAGAAGAGGAGAGUGGAAUUCCAUGUGUAGCGGUGAAAUGCGUAGAUAUAUGGAGGAACACCAGUGGCGAAGGCGGCUCUCUGGUCUGUAACUGACGCUGAGGCUCGAAAGCGUGGGGAGCAAACAGGAUUAGAUACCCUGGUAGUCCACGCCGUAAACGAUGAGUGCUAAGUGUUGGAGGGUUUCCGCCCUUCAGUGCUGCAGCUAACGCAUUAAGCACUCCGCCUGGGGAGUACGACCGCAAGGUUGAAACUCA